This 673-nucleotide ribosomal RNA is filed under the name Fusarium oxysporum f. sp. cucumerinum. RNAcentral's name for it is "SSU rRNA". It matches the Rfam family "Bacterial small subunit ribosomal RNA", at positions 291 to 931 of the family's 1533-position model. RNAcentral also lists the same sequence under 1 other name. The record is from RNAcentral. Lineage: Eukaryota; Fungi; Ascomycota; Sordariomycetes; Hypocreales; Nectriaceae.
GCCUAACGGCUGAACUGGCAACUUGGAGAAGUGGCAAGUCUUCCAGUAUGGGGAGCAAAACAGCUAUGGGUCAAGUCCGAUAUCUUUAGGAGAAGUCUUAUUGUGAGGGCGAGUUAUAUAACACCAUAGGACUGGCCGUCCCAUAUGAAAAGAUUAUAUUAGAAUUGAAUGAAGCUUUGUUUAUAUAUUGAUAAUGACAGUAUAUAUAUCGUGUCUUGACUAAUUGCGUGCCAGCAGUCGCGGUAAUACGUAAGAGACUAGUGUUAUUCAUCUUAAUUAGGUUUAAAGGGUACCCAGACGGUCAAUAUAGCUUAUAAAAUGUUAGUACUUGACUAGAGUUUUAUGUAAGAGGGCAGUACUUGAGGAGGAGAGAUGAAAUUUCGUGAUACCAAAGGGACUCUGUAAAGGCGAAGGCAGCCCUCUAUGUAAAAACUGACGUUGAAGGACGAAGGCACAGAGAACAAACAGGAUUAGAUACCCAAGUAGUCUUUGCAGUAAAUGAUGAAUGCCAUAGGUUAGAUUGAUCAAUUAUAGUCUAGGGUUAGUCUAGCAAACUAAUGCCCUAUGAUAUAAUUAAAAUAUCUGGUCUAUAAAUGAAAGUGUAAGCAUUUCACCUCAAGAGUAAUGUGGCAACGCAGGAACUGAAAUCACUAGACCGUUUCUGACACCAGUA